CCGUGUAGCAGCGUUUUAAGUAUUACCCACCUAGCUACCUAGUAAAUAGUAGUGCGUGUGGUGCCUGCGCUCGAACAUAACGUCUGCGGGUCUGGGACCUCGCGAAAUGUUGGCCCGGAAUAAUUAGGGAGCCGCGAGCUAUAGAUGUGGAGGUAAAACUAUACCGCGUCGCCGUAGGAACAAUUAUUAUUAUACAGGGUGAUUGUGGAUGCGUCGGUGGAAUACGCGGUUAUACGAGACAUAAUACACAUUGAGUCUAGAGGAACACGAC
This is a non-coding RNA of Cinara cedri, 271 nucleotides long. Lineage: Eukaryota; Metazoa; Arthropoda; Insecta; Hemiptera; Aphididae. The record is from the annotation of a GenBank genome assembly.